UCCUCUGGNUUAACUGGGGGCUUGCGGUGGGUACGGNCCGGCUUGAGUGCGGUAGGGGAGGCUGGAACUCCUGGUGUAGCGGUGGAAUGCGUAGAUAUCAGGAAGAACACCGGUGGCGAAGGCGGGUCUCUGGGCCGUUACUGACGCUGAGGAGCGAAAGCGUGGGGAGCGAACAGGAUUAGAUACCCUGGUAGUCCACGCCGUAAACGUUGGGCACUAGGUGUGGGGGGCCUUUUCCGGGUUUUCCGCGCCGUAGCUAACGCAUUAAGUGCCCCGCCUGGGGAGUACGGCCGCAAGGCUAAAACUCAAAGGAAUUGACGGGGGCCCGCACAAGCGGCGGAGCAUGCGGAUUAAUUCGAUGCAACGCGAAGAACCUUACCAAGGCUUGACAUGUGCCGGUCGGCUCCGGAGACGGGGUUUCCUCCUUGUGGGGCCGGUUCACCGGUGGUGCAUGGUUGUCGUCAGCUCGUGUCGUGAGAUGUUGGGUUAAGUCCCGCAACGAGCGCAACCCUUGUCUCGUGUUGCCAGCACGUUGUGGUGGGGACUCGCGGGAGACUGCCGGGGUCAACUCGGAGGAAGGUGGGGAUGACGUCAAAUCAUCAUGCCCCUUAUGUCUUGGGCUUCACGCAUGCUACAAUGGCCGGUACAGAGGGCUGCGAUACUGUGAGGUGGAGCGAAUCCCUUAAAGCCGGUCUCAGUUCGGAUCGGUGUCUGCAACUCGACACCGUGAAGUUGGAGUCGCUAGUAAUCGCAGAUCAGCAACGCUGCGGUGAAUACGUUCUCGGGCCUUGUACACACCGCCCGUCACGUCAUGAAAGUCGGCAACNC
RNAcentral lists this ribosomal RNA (828 nucleotides) under uncultured bacterium. Its description in RNAcentral is "bacterial SSU rRNA". It matches the Rfam family "Bacterial small subunit ribosomal RNA", at positions 600 to 1420 of the family's 1533-position model. The record is from RNAcentral.